RNAcentral lists this long non-coding RNA (2493 nucleotides) under Papio anubis (olive baboon). RNAcentral's name for it is "lncRNA (ENSPANG00000043537.1)". Lineage: Eukaryota; Metazoa; Chordata; Mammalia; Primates; Cercopithecidae. The record is from RNAcentral.
CCGGAACAGGCUCCUGGCCCUGGGACUCCGCGUCACGCACGCCCGGGCCAAGCAGGUGAAUCCUGGCAGGAGCCGCUGCCCUCAAGAAGGCUGAGGGCCUGGCAGCCAGGGCGAGGAGCCCAGCAGGUGGAUUCGGAACUCAGUGUGGGGCCGGAGCGCCCUCAGUGUGGGCCGGGGCGGGGGGAAACGCGGGAGAGCACGGGGUCUCUGGGCCAGCGCGUCCCCAGUGCCAACGCCCACGGGCCAGGUGGCCUCCGCGGCAUCUGCUCCACACCCCACGCGGAGCAGGGGCUUGUAGUUUGUGCACACGCCCCACUGCAUGCACACCGCACCACACACUCCACACUGUACACACCACACACACCACACUAUACACACCCACUGUACACACCACACAAACAGCACACACAAACACACCACACACCACAGCCCACACACACCACAGCCCACACACCCUACAAACACACCGCACACAAACACACCACACUAUACACACCACACACACCACACUAUACACACACACCACACCACACUGUACGCACCACACCACACAAACACACCACACACACCACACACCCCACACACACCACAGCACACACACCACACCACACUGUACACACCACACACACAAACAGCAGCACACACACAAACACACCACACACCACAGCCCACACACACCACACAGCCCACACACCCUACAAACACACGGCACACAUACCACACACAAACACACCACACUAUACACACCACACACACCACACUAUACACACCACACCACACUGUACGCACCACACCAAACACACCACGCACACACCACACACACCCCCACACACACCACAGCACACACACCCUACAAACACACCGCACACAUCACACCACACACACCACACUAUACACACCACACACACCACACUAUACACACCACACCACACUGUACACACCAAACACACAAACAGCACACACACACUCCACACACACACCACAGCACACACACACCACACACAGCCCACACACCCUACAAACACACCGCACACACCACACUACACACACACUAUACACACCACACACACCACACUAUACACACCACACCACACUGUACACACCACACACACAAACAUCGCACAGCACACCACACACACCACACUACACACAAACGGCACACUCACCCCACACACACACCACACACAGCCCACACACCCUACAAACACACCACACACACCACGCACACAAACACCACACACACAACACACGCUAUACCAAAUACACCACGACGCACUGAACACACCACACGCACACACACCACACAAACACACCACAUGCACCGAACACACCACAUGCACACAAACACACAAACACAAACACACCACACUCACACACACACCCACACUACACACACCAACUACACCACACACACCACACACACAUACCCCACACCACCCCCACGCACGCCACACUACACACCCCACACACACCACACUACACACAAACACACCACACACACCUCACACACCACACACACACCACGCACAUACCCCACACCACCCCACGCACGCCACACCACACACCCCACACACACUACAUUACAAACACACACCACACACACACCCCACACACACACCCACACGCACACCACCCCCACACACACCCCACACUACACACCACACCACACCCCAGCCCCACCGUCCCACCCUGCGCCCUCCCGGCCUCCGGUGUGUGGUGUGUGCUCUAGUUCCCCACAAAGCCAGGUGGCAGACGGAGGGGCCGGCAGGACAGGCCGCCUGCGGAACCGGGAACGCCGAAGUGGACGCAGGAGGAGCGGGCGGGGAGGGCCCAGGCCCCGUGGGCGGCGGGAAAGGAGAGGGCAGGGACGGCGAGGGGGCAGCCCGGUGCGGGAGGCUGCGCGUGCCCGGGGAGAAGGCGGCCCGGCUGGGAGCUGAGGCGGAACCGAGGGCGCCCGCGUGGAGGCCGCAGCCCCUGCGCGGCCGGGCGGGUCCAGAAGGAGCCCAGGGCGCACCCCCAGGCCGGCCCCGCCGCGGCCCAGCGCCCGCCCGCGCCCCCAGCGCCGCUCCACUUGCACCUUCUCCCGGGGCGCCGGCGGCCUCGGCUGCCCCGCGGCGUUUCCCCAGCUUCCCUCCGAGGCCCCCGCCGCCCUUUCUCAGCAUCCCUCGCAGCUUCCUCUCCAUCCGCGCGGCCUUGCCAGGACCCUCCAAGCCGUUCUCCUCCAGGCUGGCUCCCAGGACGCCGUCCAGGCCCGGGACUCACAUUCCCAGUCCUCAUGCAGAGCCCGGUCCCCGCACCGAGGCGGCAGAGCCGGGAGCGCGAUGCAGUUCUCCGCGAGAGCCUAGGUCUGACUCUAACUCUGCCCUGGAUCUUCCGCUUUCUAGGAGCGCGUGGCAUCGGCGGUCAGUUCCGUCAUCUGGGCUCUCCCACCCGUACCACCCGCCCCUGGGAACGGAUGCGACAAUGGACCCGAAGGCACCCUGCAAACUGUAA